This 375-nucleotide ribosomal RNA is filed under the name uncultured bacterium. Its description in RNAcentral is "bacterial SSU rRNA". It matches the Rfam family "Bacterial small subunit ribosomal RNA", at positions 521 to 896 of the family's 1533-position model. The record is from RNAcentral.
UAAGACGGAGGGUGCUAGCGUUGUUCGGAAUGACUGGGCGUAAAGGGCGCGUAGGCGGCCGACCCAGUCGGGUGUGAAAGCCCGGGGCUCAACCCCGGAACGGCACCCGAUACUGGUUGGCUGGAGACCGAGAGAGGUGAGUGGAAUACCCAGUGUAGAGGUGAAAUUCGUAGAUAUUGGGUGGAACACCGGUGGCGAAAGCGGCUCACUGGCUCGGUUCUGACGCUGAGGCGCGAAAGCGUGGGGAGCAAACAGGAUUAGAUACCCUGGUAGUCCACGCCCUAAACGAUGUGUGCUGGGCGUCGGGGGGCUUGCCCCUCGGUGCCGGAGCUAACGCGGUAAGCACACCGCCUGGGGAGUACGGCCGCAAGGUUA